GGGGGCGGGGCUCCGCGCGGCGGCCGUUAGGGGCGGCCGUUAGGGGCGGCCGUUAGCGCCUGCCCCGCCCCCCGCCGUGAGGGGAGCGCGGCGCCGGCGCUCCCGGAGACGGUGUUGCGCAGGGCUUCGAGCUGUAGCCGACCCGGAGCGGGAUCCUGUGACUUACUGAAGCAACUUAAAAAGCUGCAGCCCGCACUUGUUGGAGCCAAAUCAGACUGCGCAAGACUGUAUAUUCAGUGCUGCCAACGCUCCUCCACUCUGCCAGGCACCAUCCCACAACUCUCAAAGGCUUGCAGGAAAUAGUUGUAAGGCAUAUGAUAAGCGCUGUGUGACAUUUAGGGUCAGACCUUGCAACUGCUGGCUUCCAGACACGACGGUCAUAAAGGCUGUGCCCAGCAGCGGUCGUCUGCAGGAUCGAGUUCUCGGGAGAAUCCAGAGCAGCGCACAGCUAAGAGCGUGAAGGGAAAAGGCAAGUCUGCGAAGCGUCACUGAGACCAAGCCAACAUCACUUCCAGCUUCACCACUUCCAAAGGAAGUGACCGUGAAGCACAAGAGGAAUGCUACAGUCCUAUUAACGUUUUAAAAACAAUCCUACCUUCUCCCACGCUUUCUAUAUGGAUUCAGAGUAUUUCUCUUGACUUCUUAAAUGGAUUCCACAACUCAGGAAAAAGAUUUUUUUCUCCAACCCAACAAAAAUUUUGAUACUAAGUAGCAUUUACAGCUCUUUAUCCAAGUCAAUUCCUUACAUAUGUAUUUUCUACAACAUUAUUAAAAUGUACCUUUAUUUUUAAAGACAUACCUUUAUUUUUCUUGAUAAAAUAAACUGGACUUGGAUAACA
This 839-nucleotide long non-coding RNA is filed under the name Dromaius novaehollandiae (emu). Its description in RNAcentral is "lncRNA (ENSDNVG00000016541.1)". The record is from RNAcentral. Lineage: Eukaryota; Metazoa; Chordata; Aves; Casuariiformes; Dromaiidae.